GAUGAACGCUGGCGGCGUGCCUAAUACAUGCAAGUCGAGCGAACAGACGAGGAUCUUGCUCCUCUCACGUUAGCGGCGGACGGGAGAGUAACACGUGUAUAACCUACCUAUAAGACUGGGAUAACUUCGGGAAACCGGAGCUAAUACCGUAUAAGAUAUUGAACCGCAUGGUUCAAUAGUGAAAGACGGUUUUGCUGUCACUUAUAGAUGGAUCUGCGCGGCAUUAGCUAGUUGGUAAGGUAACGGCUUACCAAGGCAACGAUGCGUAGCCGACCUGAGAGGGUGGUAGGCCACACGGGAAGUGGGACGGGGUCCAUGCGCCUACGGGACGGCGCAGUCGGGAAUGGUCCGCAGUGGGCGGGAGCAUGACGGAGCAAGCGCGAGCGAGUGAUGGAGGUCCUCGGAGCGGAAAAACCUCUUACUAGGGAAGAACCAAUGUCUCAGUAACUAAGGCCGUAUUGACGGUACCUAGUAAGAAAGCACCGGCUAACUACGUG
This 497-nucleotide ribosomal RNA is filed under the name uncultured bacterium. RNAcentral's name for it is "partial 16S ribosomal RNA". It matches the Rfam family "Bacterial small subunit ribosomal RNA", at positions 28 to 507 of the family's 1533-position model. The record is from RNAcentral.